Molecule: long non-coding RNA, 468 nt
Filed under: Callithrix jacchus (white-tufted-ear marmoset)
Lineage: Eukaryota; Metazoa; Chordata; Mammalia; Primates; Cebidae
Description: lncRNA (ENSCJAG00000081492.1)
Source: RNAcentral
UAGCUUUGAUAUUCUGAGGCUUUGUAACAUAUAGCAAGUAGCUGGAAACUAAGCUGAUUGCUUUUGGGGGCGUCAAGAGCAGUGAUGGGGUGCAGAACACACUGCACGUUGGCAUACUAUUUUAAGCUGAUGGAAACUGCAGAAGCAGGAUGGUCCCUCUCUGACUUUCUUCUGCCUUUCUCCCCUGAAGCAGGCCACAGAGAAGUCUUUAAUUUCCCUUCCCUAAAAGGAGGUCAGAAGACUCCUGUUCAUGAGGGACCCUGCCUUACGCCCAGAGGGCCCACCAGAAGCAGUUUGCUUUCAGCCAUCAAGGCCAGUGAUACACCUUCUACCUCACAGCGCCAUCCAUGUAAGAUGAGACUUGCUCCUCCUUGCCUUCUGCCAUGAUUGUGAGACCUCUCCAGCCAUGUGGAACUGUGAGUCCAGUUAAACUUCUUUCUUUUAUAAACUGCCCAGUCUUGGUUAUGU